AUCAACAAUUUAUGAUAUUUAUUGAGCACCUGCAAUGUGUCCAGCUUUGUGCUUGGUGAUGUGAAGGCAAGAGAUGUAAGGACCUGGUUUCUAAUCUUCAAAAAAGUCUACACUGUGGUUGAAGUGAAACACAAAGAGAGUUUUUGCCUCCGAAAUGACAAGCAGAGAACCACAAGGCAAUGUUGAGAUGCAGAGGGUGGCAGUUUCCCUCCUAGCAGAGUGACUCACUCAUGCCUCCACUCCAGGGUGCAGGGCUUAGAUUCAUGACAGGGACCUCAUCAAAUAACCAGGAAAGAUUAAUCACCUGAGAAGAGAAGAGACUGGGAAUCUUCACCCUGCCCAGACAGACUUUUCAUCUAUUCUCCUGAGAGCAGCUCCAAGAGAUUACCUGUGGGACUCAAUUUGCAUAAUAAGAUGACCUUUGUUCCUGUGCAGUUCCACCCCUCACCUUCCCAUAAUGUCUGCCUCCCACCUCCCAGAAAUCAUACUCAGUUGGUUUAAUGGUAGAGUUAAAGGCCAAAUCUGCCAUAUAGUUAAAGGCCAAAUCUGCCGUGAAGCCAGGAGAAAGGAUCCAGCAUACAAACCAUGACAGAAUACACACACAUUUUGGAGAUGCAUGCUUUCUCAAAGCUCUGAGGACCAUCAUGAAGACAUAUUAACUGAAAGAAUACAAAGCGAUGUGAAUAGUUCCUAACUAUUGGAGACUAUACAAGAAGCAUGACACCAAACUGUGGUUGUCUUCUGGUGAAGAUCUCAGAAGUUUCCACUCAUGGCAAAAGGUGAAGGGGAGCCAGCUCCUGUAAAGAUUACAUGGCAAGAGGAAGUGAGAGGGAGAGAGGAGAUACAAGUGAAAUCACAAUGACAUCAAUAAUCCUGAAUUUCUUCUUCACACUCACUCAUGAAAAGUCUCCGAUUUUCCCACCUUGCUCAGCCACCUUAAGUGCCUUCCUUCAAGAUAUUUCCUACUGCUUCUAAAGAGGAUCUCCCAUUGGCUUGGGAGCAGCGUGAGAAGAGACUUGUACACAGAGAGGCUGGGCAACUUGUACAUGGUUGCACAGAUGUCCAGAGGCAGUGCUGAGAUGUGAACACAGGAAGACUGGAUUCAGCAUCUGUGCUACUAACCAGGACACUAUGAAGUCUCUCAUACCUGUGGUACUAGGAAAAUCAGAGAAAAUUUCAAGGAGGGUGGGGCAUUAGAAGCUGACUAUGGAGGAACCGGUAGGAGUUGGAUGUUUGGAAAUAGAGGGCAGGGCAUUGCAGGUAGAGAAUGGGAGUGUAUUCUGGAUGCCAACACAUCUGUGGCGGUCCUAAGAUCAGGAAUAGAUGGUCUGUAUCUUCAGUAUGACUUAAUGUUUCUGAGUGUAAGACUUAAUCUCCAUUUGAAAAAGGAUAAAAAGAAGGAAAAAAA
Molecule: long non-coding RNA, 1408 nt
Filed under: Homo sapiens (human)
Lineage: Eukaryota; Metazoa; Chordata; Mammalia; Primates; Hominidae
Description: long intergenic non-protein coding RNA 1331
Source: RNAcentral